CGUUUCCUACGGGAGGCAGCAGUGGGGAAUAUUGCGCAAUGGGGGAAACCCUGAUGCAGCAACGCCGCGUGAGUGAUGACGGCCUUCGGGUUGUAAAGCUCUGUCUUCAGGGACGAUAAUGACGGUACCUGAGGAGGAAGCCACGGCUAACUACGUGCCAGCAGCCGCGGUAAUACGUAGGUGGCGAGCGUUGUCCGGAUUUACUGGGCGUAAAGGUAGCGUAGGCGGAUUUUUAAGUGAGAUGU
Molecule: ribosomal RNA, 245 nt
Filed under: uncultured bacterium
Lineage: Bacteria
Description: partial 16S ribosomal RNA
Rfam family: Bacterial small subunit ribosomal RNA
Source: RNAcentral